AUAUAUUAGUAUAAUUUAUGUUAUUGAUAUGGUCCUUCAACUGACAUACAAUGUACACAAACAGUUGACAAGAUUUUCUUCAAUAAAAGCCUACACCAUACAAUGCCCUUACUUUAUGACACUAUCUUAACCCUUGGAAAGACAAAGAUAAAAGCAGAGCAGACUCUCAUAGUUAUCUUUCAAAUCUUCAUAAAUCAUACUUCCAAUUUCUCAAUAAUAAAGACACUCUAAUUCCCAUAUAAAUUGGAAUCAAACCCUUCCUGCCCAAUAAGCUAUAAUUUACAAACAUUUAUUCAAGACCAUGCCCU
This 308-nucleotide unclassified non-coding RNA is filed under the name Hevea brasiliensis (rubber tree). Lineage: Eukaryota; Viridiplantae; Streptophyta; Magnoliopsida; Malpighiales; Euphorbiaceae. The record is from RNAcentral.